AUGAGAACCUUGUGCUGGAACUGUCGUGGGAUUGGCGACCCCGCGACAGUUCAUGAGCUCCGGGAGCUCAUACAGGAGUGUGCGCCGUCGGUGCUUUGUAUUGUGGAAACACAGUUAUCAAAACAGCGUGUGGAAGGCCUGACGGCGAUGUUAGGUUUUGAAGGUGGUUUUGCGGUGGCUAGUAGCGGGAGGAGUGGAGGCUUGGGUGUUUUCUGGAGGCAUGGUUUGGACUUUAGAGUCAAGAACUUCUCAAGGUAUUAUAUUGAUGCUUGGGUAGCCGAACCGGGAAAGGAAGAUUGGAGGCUGACGUGUUUCUAUGGAGAGGCCAACAGAUCACUUAGGCAAAAUACUUGGAACACUAUGGCUAGACUGCGAGGUGAAUCAACCCUUCCAUGGUUAUGUAUCGGGGAUUUCAAUGAAAUUUUGAGGAGAAGAACAAUUGGGGCCGAACGAGCGGGACAGUGCUCAAAUGGAGGGAUUUAG
Molecule: ribosomal RNA, 483 nt
Filed under: Triticum aestivum (bread wheat)
Lineage: Eukaryota; Viridiplantae; Streptophyta; Magnoliopsida; Poales; Poaceae
Description: partial small subunit ribosomal RNA
Source: RNAcentral